Molecule: ribosomal RNA, 1321 nt
Filed under: metagenome
Description: bacterial LSU rRNA
Rfam family: Bacterial large subunit ribosomal RNA
Source: RNAcentral
AGUGGAUGGGGAGCAACCUAGUUGUGCGUGUGUAAAGGUAGUGCCAAGAAAAGCGAUGAUCAUGUUGAAAAUCGAUUCCCGGUACCCGAAACCGACACAGGUGGGCAACUAGAGAAUACUAAGGGGCGCGAGGUAACUCUCUCCAAGGAACUCGGCAAAAUGACCCCGUAACUUAGGGAGAAGGGGUGCCACCGAGAGGUGGUCGCAGUGAAGAGGCCCAGGCGACUGCUUAGCAAAAACAUAGGUCUCUGCAAACUCGAAAGAGGAGGUAUAGGGGCUGACGCCUGCCCAGUGCCGGAAGGUUAAAGAAGUUGGUCAGUUUUAGGAUGAAGCUAGCGACUGAAGCCCCGGUGAACGGCGGCCGUAACUAUAACGGUCCUAAGGUAGCGAAAUUCCUUGUCGGGUAAGUUCCGACCCGCACGAAAGGCGUAACGAUCUGGGCGCUGUCUCGGAGAGAGGCUCGGCGAAAUAGGAUUGUCUGUGAAGAUACGGACUACCUGCACCUGGACAGAAAGACCCUAUGAAGCUUUACCGUAGCUUGGAAUUGUGUUCGGGCUUCCUGUGCGCAGGAUAGGUGUAGGCGAAGAAGGUAUUCUUGUGGGGAUACUGGAGCCAACGGUGAGAUACCACUCUCAGGAGGCUAGAAUUCUAACUUAAUUAAGGACAGUUUCAGGUGGGUAGUUUGACUGGGGCGGUCGCCUCCAAAAAGGUAACGGAGGCGUACAAAGGUUCCCUCAGACUGGUUGGAAAUCAGUCGCAGAGUGCAAAGGCAGAAGGGAGCUUGACUGCGAGAAGUACAGUUCAAGCAGGGUGGAAACACGGUCUUAGUGAUCCGACGGUGCUGUGUGGAAGGGCCGUCGCUCAACGGAUAAAAGUUACUCUAAGGAUAACAGGCAGAUCUCCCCCAAGAGUUCACAUCGACGGGGAGGUUUGGCACCUCGAUGUCGGCUCAUCGCAACCUGGGGCGGAAGUACGUCCCAAGGGUUGGGCUGUUCGCCCAUUAAAGCGGUACGUGAGCUGGGUUCAGAACGUCGUGAGACAGUUCGGUCCAUAUCCGAUGUAGGCGUGAGAAUAUUGAGAGGAGCCUUCCUUAGUACGAGAGGACCGGGAAGGACGCACCGCUGGUGUACCUGUUAUGAUGCCAAUUGUAAACGCAGGGUAGCCAAGUGCGGAGAGGAUAACCGCUGAAAGCAUCUAAGUGGGAAGCCCACCUCAAGAUGAGUAUUCUGGUGUAAGGUCACGGGAAGACGACCCGUAAAUAGGCACGAGGUGGAAGUGCAGAGAUGUAUGAAGCCGAAGUGUACUAAUAGACCGUCGGCUU